UGCCAGCCGCCGCGGUAAUACGGAGGGGGCUAGCGUUAUUCGGAAUUACUGGGCGUUAAGCGCGCGUAGGCGGAUUAGUAAGUCAGUGGUGAAAGCCCGGGGCUCAACCCCGGAACUGCCUUUGAUACUGCUAGUCUUGAGUUCGAGAGAGGUGAGUGGAAUUUCUAGUGUAGAGGUGAAAUUCGUAGAUAUUAGAAAGAACACCAGUGGCGAAGGCGGCCUCCUGGUUCAAUACUGACGCUGAGGUGCGAAUGCGUGGGGAGCAAACAGGAUUAGAUA
Molecule: ribosomal RNA, 279 nt
Filed under: uncultured bacterium
Lineage: Bacteria
Description: partial 16S ribosomal RNA
Rfam family: Bacterial small subunit ribosomal RNA
Source: RNAcentral